Molecule: ribosomal RNA, 2090 nt
Filed under: Escherichia coli HVH 222 (4-2977443)
Lineage: Bacteria; Pseudomonadati; Pseudomonadota; Gammaproteobacteria; Enterobacterales; Enterobacteriaceae
Description: bacterial LSU rRNA
Rfam family: Bacterial large subunit ribosomal RNA
Source: RNAcentral
UUAAGCGACUAAGCGUACACGGUGGAUGCCCUGGCAGUCAGAGGCGAUGAAGGACGUGCUAAUCUGCGAUAAGCGUCGGUGAGGUGAUAUGAACCGUUAUAACCGGCGAUUUCCGAAUGGGGAAACCCAGUGUGUUUCGACACACUAUCAUUAACUGAAUCCAUAGGUUAAUGAGGCGAACCGGGGGAACUGAAACAUCUAAGUACCCCGAGGAAAAGAAAUCAACCGAGAUUCCCCCAGUAGCGGCGAGCGAACGGGGAGGAGCCCAGAGCCUGAAUCAGUGUGUGUGUUAGUGGAAGCGUCUGGAAAGGCGCGCGAUACAGGGUGACAGCCCCGUACACAAAAAUGCACAUAUUGUGAGCUCGAUGAGUAGGGCGGGACACGUGGUAUCCUGUCUGAAUAUGGGGGGACCAUCCUCCAAGGCUAAAUACUCCUGACUGACCGAUAGUGAACCAGUACCGUGAGGGAAAGGCGAAAAGAACCCCGGCGAGGGGAGUGAAAAAGAACCUGAAACCGUGUACGUACAAGCAGUGGGAGCCUCUUUAUGGGGUGACUGCGUACCUUUUGUAUAAUGGGUCAGCGACUUAUAUUCUGUAGCAAGGUUAACCGAAUAGGGGAGCCGAAGGGAAACCGAGUCUUAACUGGGCGUUAAGUUGCAGGGUAUAGACCCGAAACCCGGUGAUCUAGCCAUGGGCAGGUUGAAGGUUGGGUAACACUAACUGGAGGACCGAACCGACUAAUGUUGAAAAAUUAGCGGAUGACUUGUGGCUGGGGGUGAAAGGCCAAUCAAACCGGGAGAUAGCUGGUUCUCCCCGAAAGCUAUUUAGGUAGCGCCUCGUGAAUUCAUCUCCGGGGGUAGAGCACUGUUUCGGCAAGGGGGUCAUCCCGACUUACCAACCCGAUGCAAACUGCGAAUACCGGAGAAUGUUAUCACGGGAGACACACGGCGGGUGCUAACGUCCGUCGUGAAGAGGGAAACAACCCAGACCGCCAGCUAAGGUCCCAAAGUCAUGGUUAAGUGGGAAACGAUGUGGGAAGGCCCAGACAGCCAGGAUGUUGGCUUAGAAGCAGCCAUCAUUUAAAGAAAGCGUAAUAGCUCACUGGUCGAGUCGGCCUGCGCGGAAGAUGUAACGGGGCUAAACCAUGCACCGAAGCUGCGGCAGCGACACUAUGUGUUGUUGGGUAGGGGAGCGUUCUGUAAGCCUGUGAAGGUGGCCUGUGAGGGUUGCUGGAGGUAUCAGAAGUGCGAAUGCUGACAUAAGUAACGAUAAAGCGGGUGAAAAGCCCGCUCGCCGGAAGACCAAGGGUUCCUGUCCAACGUUAAUCGGGGCAGGGUGAGUCGACCCCUAAGGCGAGGCCGAAAGGCGUAGUCGAUGGGAAACAGGUUAAUAUUCCUGUACUUGGUGUUACUGCGAAGGGGGGACGGAGAAGGCUAUGUUGGCCGGGCGACGGUUGUCCCGGUUUAAGCGUGUAGGCUGGUUUUCCAGGCAAAUCCGGAAAACCAAGGCUGAGGCGUGAUGACGAGGCACUACGGUGCUGAAGCGACAAAUGCCCUGCUUCCAGGAAAAGCCUCUAAGCAUCAGGUAACAUCAAAUCGUACCCCAAACCGACACAGGUGGUCAGGUAGAGAAUACCAAGGCGCUUGAGAGAACUCGGGUGAAGGAACUAGGCAAAAUGGUGCCGUAACUUCGGGAGAAGGCACGCUGAUAUGUAGGUGAAGCGACUUGCUCGUGGAGCUGAAAUCAGUCGAAGAUACCAGCUGGCUGCAACUGUUUAUUAAAAACACAGCACUGUGCAAACACGAAAGUGGACGUAUACGGUGUGACGCCUGCCCGGUGCCGGAAGGUUAAUUGAUGGGGUUAGCGGUAACGCGAAGCUCUUGAUCGAAGCCCCGGUAAACGGCGGCCGUAACUAUAACGGUCCUAAGGUAGCGAAAUUCCUUGUCGGGUAAGUUCCGACCUGCACGAAUGGCGUAAUGAUGGCCAGGCUGUCUCCACCCGAGACUCAGUGAAAUUGAACUCGCUGUGAAGAUGCAGUGUACCCGCGGCAAGACGGAAAGACCCCGUGAACCUUUACUAUAGCUUGACACU